UACGUAGGGUCCGAGCGUUAAUCGGAAUUACUGGGCGUAAAGCGUGCGCAGGCGGUUUUGUAAGCCAGAUGUGAAAUCCCCGGGCUCAACCUGGGAACUGCAUUUGGGACUGCAAGGCUUGAGUACGGCAGAGGGGGGUAGAAUUCCUGGUGUAGCAGUGAAAUGCGUAGAGAUGCGGAGGAACACCGAUGGCGAAGGCAGCCCCCUGGGCUAAUACUGACGCUGAGGCACGAAAGCGUGGGGAGCAAACAGG
RNAcentral lists this ribosomal RNA (253 nucleotides) under uncultured bacterium. Its description in RNAcentral is "partial 16S ribosomal RNA". It matches the Rfam family "Bacterial small subunit ribosomal RNA", at positions 524 to 776 of the family's 1533-position model. The record is from RNAcentral.